Molecule: long non-coding RNA, 747 nt
Organism: Strongylocentrotus purpuratus (purple sea urchin)
Lineage: Eukaryota; Metazoa; Echinodermata; Echinoidea; Camarodonta; Strongylocentrotidae
Exons: 3
Source: RefSeq, a predicted model, not a curated record
UUUAGUACAUCAUUGUCUAGACUGUUUCGGGUCGCAUUGUAGCACAUUGCUAUACAUCUCGAACAGUACAUUCACCCGAAGUGGAAAACAACAUUCCCCGAGCAGGGUUGUUUGAAAGUACAUUUUGAAAUAAAAGCAUCGGUCGAUAUUGAUUGCGAACUACCGAUUACUAUUUAUGUUCUCAGAUGGCCCAUGCGAAUUUAGCACACUGCAGAGCAACAACAACAACCACAAUUAUGUCCAUUUUUUAAUUAUUGAAAAGAAAAGCCAGUCUGAAGAUCGUGCAGAUAAGCUACAUCCCGGACUAAAAGAAGAUAGAAACAUACUCACUUAAAACGUGAGCGGAUUUUCUGCAUGUUGUGGCUAGGACGAUGGCAAACGAAGCUAUUUAAACAAACAUCUAGUGUUGCGAGACGAAGGAGUAUUCUCCUACAGAACACCAUCGCUAUAGAUUGUUGAAAAUUGUGAGCACUUGGAAUUCAUUUUGAGCCCCAUCUACUGCUGCAUCGCACUUGAUCUACAGAUUCUUUAAAGAAAUUUAUUGGACAGAUGUUUCAUGAGAAGGAUAUCAAAAGAUAUGGAAUUAUGGUCUAAUUCUAUAGGUAUGUACAUCUGCCUUUUUUUAAUGUUUAGUUUUACACUAGGUUGCAGAGUGGAAAUUUCGUUCGAAAUGUUAUUAUUCUUUUAAAAUCAAAAUAUUAAUGGUAAUUCAUCAUUUUAAUAGUCCAAAUCAAUAGUGAAAGUUAA